Molecule: long non-coding RNA, 3650 nt
Organism: Acanthopagrus latus (yellowfin seabream)
Lineage: Eukaryota; Metazoa; Chordata; Actinopteri; Spariformes; Sparidae
Exons: 4
Source: RefSeq, a predicted model, not a curated record
AUUAGUGUUAGGAUGACUGUGCAUAUAGACACUUAUCAUAAAUGCUCUUUCCAGACAUUUAUGCUGCAGAUUUACAUGUUGGGGUGUAUUACUGCUUUGUAAUUGUGGAGUAAUUACAGUAAAAGAGGAAACAGCUGGCACAAUAAAGACAUAAUCUCUUGGUACAGGAUACUUUGAUUUUGUCUGGCAUAGUGAUUACAGUGGAAUAUUGGAACUGUGAUUGCAGAGCGGACAAACCAUGCCCUUGUGAAAGUUUUCAAGUGUUCCGUGUAUGCUACCAGGAAACACAAAGAGAUACAUUUUUUUCAAUAAAAAGACUAACUCUGGAAGCUCUCCACUGGAUUUGAUCAACUCUUACUGUACUAAUGAAGCUUCUUACAGAUGUCUCUCCUUUCAGAUGUUACCACUGCAUUAAAUGUGCAACUCUGCAGAAAAAGGGGGCUGAUUUUGCAUUAGCUGUGGUGUGCACCAACAACCACAUAUCAGAUAUCAGUGAACACAUGAGGGCCCUGUGCCUCUCUCUCUCUCUCCUCCCUCUCGAAAUCAUUUAAAGGUUUCCUCUCCAUGCAGUGUCACUGUAGUAAACACCAUGCCUCAUGCAUAGAAGUCACUACAGUGUACAGCUAUUUUAAAAGCUGUUUUCUUGUACAUGCAUAAGUUUUGAUGGCAUAGUUGCACAUCAGCCACUUCAGUGGACGCUAUUGCAUUAUCUCAUACACUGCCACCCAUUGCAAAGCCUUUGCAAGUGAAAAUAAAAAUGAAAGUGAUAGCAAGAUGGCCGACAGACAGUCAGCAACACCAUGUUGCUCAUUUAUUUCUGUUCAAAGCUUCUAUAAAAACAGACCCUUGCAGGGCAGAAACAUAUGGUGACAUCAAGUAAUAUCUAAGGGGUCAUGCAAUUGCUAAAUUUUCCAAGUAUUGAUUUUAUUUUGGGAAGAAAUUAUGAUUAAUCACAUGUCCACUAAACUGGCUAUAUUUCAACUACAAUCCAUAGGCUAUGAUAAGUAUAUUACUGCUGUUGUACUUGAAAAUACUUAACUUUUUUGGCUGUAAAUCAACAUGUUUAUGGUUUUAGAAUGUAACUUAGAAGUUUUUGUGUAUCUUGUUUUGUAGCGCUUAGGAGCAGAGCAUAAUAGACAGGCCAACAAGAUAGUGGAGGAAUUACCACAGUCAAGUAAGGAGGAGGAUGCUAGUAGCAGUGAGGAGGAAUGGCUGCCAGAACAGGAAGCACUAGCAAAUGCUAGCAGUUGUGACAGUGGAGCUGAGGGGGCUGAGCCUGAAAAGGAUGCUGAGGGAGAUGAGGAUGCACGUCACACAGUGACUAGAUGAUGGUGCCACCCCACCUCCGGUGAAGCGCAGACCUGUGUCCAAGGCACCCACUGGCCCCAGCUCACCGAAGCAAAAAAUGCUAACAGAUGCCAUGAUGCUGCGUGCACAUGAACAGUCAAGUACAUCUGCAUGCAGUGUCUUGUGGCUUUGUGCCCUGGGUGCUUUGCCAAUGAUCACCGAAAAUAAUCUCUAAGCAAGGAGCAACUAGCACGUUUUAACAAGUAAUCUAUGAUGCAUGACACCUCUAGUCAAGAUACUGUGAGGAUCUAUAUUUAGUUCAGAGUCUUGUUAUUAGUGUCAUACUAUCAACACUUCAGAGACUGUGACAGGUCCAUUUUUAUGCCAGUGGUCUGUUUUGACCUGGCUAAUAAAACAGAUUAUAGUUCUGAUUUUGAUGUGCAGGCAAAGUUUAGAGCAGGACUCCUUGCAGUAAAGCUAACCACUAUAUUAUUUUAUAGCUCACAUCACAUUUCACAUUUCAACACACUAUUAUAUAAGUUUAUUCAUUUAUUUGUUAAAUAAAUAGUUUUACAAAAACUCAUGCUGUACACCUGAGUGGACAUGUAAUUAUAUCUUUAUAAAACAUGAAUUGAAAAAAAUAAUCAUUUCAAACCUUGUUUUUCAUGCCUAACGGUUAAGAAAAAAAUCUCCACCCACAACCCAUCUUCUAUUAAUCAGAACGAUCUUUUUAUGACCUGUCUCGUCUAAUCACAGGACCUCACAACAAAUUAAAGCAUGUUUUUUACAAUGUAAACUGUUUCAAGAUUUCAUUGUCCUUUAUUGGUCAACAACAUCUAAAACUAGAAUAAGAAUUGAAGAUAUAAUACACAAGUAAGACUAAAACUAAGAAUUGUUUGAACUUGUCAAAUUCGUUAGAUAGUAGACAAGAGGGGUUUUCCUCUUGAUCCGUCUCCCGAGACAGGGACACGGUUGAAUAGAAUUAUGUUUUAUUUCUUCAUAUUCUGUGUGUGUGUCGCAGACAACAGCAGCAGGGCCGGGCCAGGAGGACUACUGUGAGUAUACACUUUAUUAACAUUUCAGUGGACCUUUUUGUUCAAUAAAUGGGCCAUUGUCCAACAGAUCUCCCAACCCGCACAAGGUGGACAAGUGACUGUAUAGGGCGGUCUACACCAAGAUCAAUAACUAUGCUAUAACAGUGACAAUGUAAAAAGUGUGUAACUCAGCAUGUCAGCAGCUUAGGAAAAUGAGUAUUGAUGAAUAACAUAUUGAUGGCGUUAACACUGCAUUUAUGAAGCAUGUAUGGCCUAAGAAAUUGGCAAUAAUAUAUGGCAACAAUCACAGUACUGUAUCAAAAUCACAGGAUCCUAAAGGAUAUCUAAAGGUAUUCUUUUCUAUAGGUUUACUAACUACUAAAAUCAUGCAUACUGUGCUGAAUACAAUACUGUGCUCUAAUCUGUAUUUACAAUGCAGCCUGACUCUGCACUGUACAGUAUUAUGUCACUAUGGCAACAAGUGUACACUGCCAUUAGCACAUAUUAGGUAGUUUAGCCUCAUCGAUGAUUUGAACAAAAUCAACAGCUGCUAAUAGCUAUAGUCCUCAUAGCCUUAACUGGUGUGUUGUCAUGGGUUAAUUGUCAAGAAUUAAGAAAUAACAGCUUAGGAUUUUACUGUUAUAUUCAGGGUUCAAACACUUUGUUGCCACCUAGUGUCUAUAGGUAUCAAGUGCAGCGCCCCCCCCCCCGAACCAUUGCGAAGUCACCGUGGUAACGCAGCAGCAAACACGUUAUAUAAAAAGAUAGACAUUUUGUAUAAACAAGGACUGUGGAUUUUGUUCACCAUCACUUAUGUGAGGGGAUUUUCCUUCACAGUUAAUGGCCUAAAACAAACAAUUCCCGUUUCUGUGGAAAUCAGGGUUGAGAUGCCCUUCAUGACUGUACCAAAGUUUCCAGAGCCUAGUUCUCCAUCCUCCAGGUACAGCUGGUCGCGAUUCACUGUGGAGCUCCUCAGUUCAUCUGGGUCUGCAUAUGGACUCUCAUAUACCUCUGUAUCCAUUGGCAUGGCUUCUGAUGGAGAAAUUACCAUGCCACAUUAAAGGAAUAGCGAUGGCUGACACAUCAGGUCUAGGACAGGGGUCAGUUAACACUCGCAGCAGGCCGUCUGGUUUGUAGGAGUAGUGCUCCACCAGCUGUGAUAAAGAGAGAAGUUCACAUAUGAGACAUCAGGAUGGGUGUCAAACUUCUUGCCAUCUGGGAUAGAGAGCUUGCCAGUCCUGUCCCUGUCAAUGCGAUAAUGCAUGACUUGUCCUUCAUGAAGUAGACACAGAGCAUAAGAUCCAUUAACAUCUCUCUGUCGGAUCCUGU